AUGCGUAGCACAACGCAGCAGCUCCAAUGGCACCAGUUCCGCGGCAACUCCUCGCACGCGCUCCAACGACCCCCGGGGCGCUUCACUUCACCUCCGCCGGCGUCCCGACGACGCUUCAUUGCAACCCCGCCCGAGCUCCAACGACCACCGUGGGGCUUCACUGUAGCUCCGACAGCGUCCGGCGACGCUUCAUUGCAACCUUGCCGGAGCUCCAAUGACCCCAUGGUGGCCCUUCACUGUAGCUCCGGCGACGCUUCAUUGCAACCUUGCCGGAGCUCCAAUGACCCCAUGGCCCUUCACUGUAGCUCCGGCGGCGCUUCAUUGCAACCUCGCCGGAGCUCCAACGACCCUCGUGGUGCUUCACUGCAGGUCCAGUGGUGCCCGGUGGCGCUUCAUUGCAACCUCGCCGAAGCUCCAACGACCACCGCGGCGCUUAACUGCAGCUCCGACGACGCUUCAUUCGCAGCGCGACACCGCCGCGGUACUGCGACAAAGCACGCGGCGGCGAUGGUGAAAGCUGCAACACAGCACGACGGCACACGAGAUGCUGCGACGCAGCUCGCGGUGGCAACGACGGAUUUUGCAGCAGCAGCGGCACUGAUUCACGUGGUGGUCGGAGGGGUCAACGUCGUGCGCGGCCAUGCGCUGCUUGCUAGAGAAAAAGCGAAUCGGGAGGGAGGCGUAGGAGAGUGCCGUGCUGAACUGAAGCGAGUGGACGAGGGAAGAAGGAAGAAAAACGAACUGAUCCAUCGCUUGACUCUUCCACGUGAGAGAAGCUCAUGUCCCUCACAGGGACACAGCAACUCUAACAGACCCCGCAUCCCGCCCCAGCCCGCAAAACAACCGCCAAAUUGCAGGUCAGGCCGGAAAAUCCGCACAUCAGACCGCGCAUCCCGCCCAGGCCCGCAAAAUUUUUUGCGGGGCGCGGCAAAUCUUCUCCCCCAACCUCUAUCUUCACGGACUGGGAGGCCGACCCGAGCUGAACCCCUAUCCAACGGGAGGGACAUUUUUGUGCGCCCUUUCCCGCUCCUCGCACCCUCCGCCACCAUUGCCCCCCCUCCGCAAGCUCCGGUUCCUCCUCCCCGGUCGUUCCUCGCCACCAUGGACGACCCCAUGCUGUCCCCUGUCGAGGUCGCGCAUGCUCCUUCGCCUCGGGCGGAUCUCGUCGCCGGCCAUGUUGCCCCCGCCGUCGUCGCAGAAGCACACGCCGCGCCAUCCCGCAAGCGGCAGGGCAACGUGGUCGUGCAGGGCGGGAAUCCGGCUGCCCCCGCCGCGAUGGCCCGCGUUCCGGACGCCAAUGCCGCAAUGCGAUCCCGGCCGGCAACGGAGAAGGCUGGCAAGGCCGCGGGCGCAAAGCGGAGGAGGUACAAUGAAACGGAGGGCGGCGUGGAUGAUCAUGGUUGUGCAGACGAAUUGGAGGAGAUCGAAGCGAAAGCGUUUGAGCAAUCGCAAGCAAAAACUGGGAAAAGCCAAAGAUCGAAGAACUACACGAUCUUGGAAGAUCAAGCUUUGAUCCAAGCAUGGAAUGCGGUGUCUCUUGAUGCAUGCACGGGUACUUCUCAAACCGCCAAGAGAUAUUCGCAAAGGAUCGAAGAUCAAUACUUCCACAUUAUGAAAAACCGUUGGGCAGCUUGCUUGGAGCAAGUACGCAAUGCACCUCCAAGUGGCACCGUGGAGUCCGACUAUGACAAGAUUGCUCAACAUAGAUACAAGGACAUGGAAGCUUCGGAAGGCAGAUUCUUCAAAUUAGAGCAUUGUUGGGAGUUGCUCCAAAAGUGCGAGAAGUGGAAGUUGAUCGACAAAGAAUCCCCACCAAAGAGAGGCUCACUUAUAAACAUGGAUGAAGAUGAGGAUGAUGAUGGCCCAAGAAAUUUGCACAAGCCCGAUGGCGACAAGAAGACUAAAGAGAAGAUAAAGAGAGAGCAAGAAGCAUCGAGCUUGAGGGAGAAGAUUGAUGCCAUGGUGCAAUCAAACGAGUUGGCCGAGAAGAAGGCAAAAGAGAAGCAAGAAAAAUGGCAAAUGCUCAUGGAAGAGGGGCUCUGCAAAGCUGCCAUUGAGGAGAGAAAAGCAUGA
Molecule: ribosomal RNA, 2073 nt
Filed under: Triticum aestivum (bread wheat)
Lineage: Eukaryota; Viridiplantae; Streptophyta; Magnoliopsida; Poales; Poaceae
Description: partial small subunit ribosomal RNA
Source: RNAcentral